ACGAACUGCACAAACGUUAUUCGGAAUCACUGGGCUUAAAGAGUUCGUAGGCGGCCAGGUCAGUCGGGUGUGAAAUCCCUCGGCUCAACCGAGGAACUGCGCCCGAUACUGCUUGGCUUGAGGGAGUCAGAGGUGAGCGGAACUGAUGGUGGAGCGGUGAAAUGCGUUGAUAUCAUCAGGAACACCGGUGGCGAAAGCGGCUCACUGGGGCUUUUCUGACGCUGAGGAACGAAAGCUAGGGGAGCGAACGGG
This 252-nucleotide ribosomal RNA is filed under the name uncultured bacterium. Its description in RNAcentral is "partial 16S ribosomal RNA". It matches the Rfam family "Bacterial small subunit ribosomal RNA", at positions 525 to 776 of the family's 1533-position model. The record is from RNAcentral.